AACCAGCGCGAGAGUAGAGCGGAAAAAUGACUUCUCGGUGUCUUGUUGACAACACACCUGUAACGCAUCCCAGAAUCACAUUUGCUUUUCUUGCAAUA
Molecule: non-coding RNA, 98 nt
Organism: Chelonoidis abingdonii (Abingdon island giant tortoise)
Lineage: Eukaryota; Metazoa; Chordata; Testudines; Testudinidae
Source: RefSeq, a predicted model, not a curated record